GUAAUUUUUGUAUUAAGUGCGCGAAAUGAGUGUUUUUUUAAUGGCGCCUGAGAAUGUUAUUUUAGUCGAGACCGCCAGGUCGAGACCUAAAAGACAUUCGAAGGCGCCAUUAAAACAUGAAUUUCGCCACGAAAUACAAACAACGUUUUUUCUACAGCCUCCAGAUGAAGAAAAAAGUAACAGAAAUUAGUUGGAACAAAAUGGUCUGAUAAAUCGAGUUGCUUGCAUGGUUACGAUGAUAAAUAAAAGUGAUAGUUGCGAAAAAUUUGUCACAAUAGGUAUUUUUGUUGAAGAAGUGUGAUGGAUUUUAGCAGCGAAAACGAAAUAGAUGCAAUUGCAAGCGCGGCAGUGUCGAAUCUUUUGCCUGCUAAAUCAAGACCGCAGUACGAAAAAACGUAUCUUCAGUUUCGGCAGUGGUGUUCUAUGAAAAAGAUUGAUCAAGUAACGGAAAAUGUUUUGUUGGCGUAUUUGGAAGAAAAGUCUACCACCUUAAAGCCACCAACACUCUGGGCCCUUUAUGCGAUGUUGAAAGCCACCUUAAACGUUAAAGAGAAUAUCGAUACACGUAAGUUUCCGAAGUUAGUGCCCUACCUGAAAAGCAAAAGCGUAGGUUACAGAAGCAAGAAGUCGCAAAUUUUAGACAAAGAAGACAUUAGCAAGUUUAUUAAUGAAGCAGAUGACAAGAUAUAUUUACUGAUGAAGACUGUGCUAAUUUUGGGUAUAUCGGGAGCCCUUCGACGUGAAGAAUUAGUUAAAAUGAAGCUAACUGACAUAGAAGAUAAACAGUCUGUCUUAAUUGUGAAGGUGCCUGAUACAAAAACCCACUGCGAACGAAUAUUUACUGUUUCAAAUUUAGAAAAUAUAGAAAUUGUCAGAAAAUAUAGAGCUUUGCGGCCUCCACGGGCGACUAGUGACCGUUUAUUUUUAAGGAUGUGGCUAUUUAUACAUACUGUAUGUAUACGCAAUUGGCUAUUUAUACAUACAGUAUGUAUACGCAAUUGGCUAUUUAUACAUACUGUAUGUAUAAGAAAUUGGCUAUUUAUACAUACAAUAUGUAUAAGAAAUUGGCUAUUUAUAGUUACGUAUAACGUACUAACUAAUCAAAAAGUUUAUUGAUAUUAAUAUUUUAAUAAAAACUACAUAAUUAUAGAAAAAUAUUGUUUUAUUUAUUGUUUAUUGUUACAAUAUACUUGGGUAUUUAUUUUAUUUUUUAUUUCGUGUUUUAAUUUGCUUCUUGUAAAACUGAAUCUGUUUAGUUUUUCUCUUCGGACGUCCUUUAGACUUAAUUUUUGUUUUAAAUUUUAGGUUUUCAUUUGAUUGAUGAUUUGUAUCGGAUUCGUUCUGACUUUCAGUACCAACUAAGCUAUCCUGGCAACUUCCAGCUUCAACUAAGUUACUUGUCUCAAAUUCUAUUGAACUAAUUGUAGGUUCACUAUACUCAUUCUCAAACAGAGAAACCCCAUUUCUAGCAUUUUUUUCAAUUAAUUUUAGUUCGUUCAUAUAUUUGUUAAAGGUUGUAGUUCCAUAAUUUGAUAAAAUAUCUGCGAUAUUUUUUGUUACUGUCAGUGCUGUAUUGAAUUUUUCUCGAUCCGAUAAUACUUUUUGACAACCAUCGAAUUCAUCCUUGUCUAUAUCAUCAAUGUCUACGUCAUUCGUGUCUUCAUCAUCGAUAUCCAUAUUCAUAAUACUUUCUGUAUUUCCAACUGAAGUAAUGUAUCUUGGAUGGAAACAUGUUUUUGAAAAAAUAUCUAAGUUAUUGUAUUUUCUUAACAUAAAAAUAUGCCUACAUGGUGCACUGAAAGAGUUCCAAAAUGUACAUGAACAUGCUUCCAGCGACGUAUUAUAAAUCUUCGAUAUUUCAGUCUCAAGAUUUUCCUCAAUGCCAUUAGCCAUUACUUUUAUUUUAGAUUCUAAAGUUUUAAACAAUUUUAAUUGUUUAUGAAAUAAUUUCAUUCCAGUCUCUGUGAAAACUUCGGAACAUACUUCCAGCAAUUUUCUUAUUUCAUUAUCGUUAUCCAUAAUUUUAAAAACUUUUUGUUUAUUUUUGGCUAAUUUAUUCUUUAUUCUUGAAUCAAUAAAGUCUAUAAGCUCUUUAAUACAUAAAUAAAUUGUCGGCAAACUAUGAUAUUUAGUUUGUAUGUAUUGCUUAAGAGUCCAAAAUGAUCGUUCAAUUCUGUUUGUUGUCGUAUCUCCCAUUAGUAGCAAAUGUUUUCUAAAAUAAUGUACCCACAUUUCUUUACAGCUGUCCCAAUUUUUAAGAAAUUGCUCUUCAAGAGUCACGUAUUUAUCUUUUGUUCCUGCAAAAACUUUUACAGACUUGCAAAUGUGCAACAUUUUAGUUGAGGAUGGCAUUCAUAGAUGGUCACAAUCAAUAUUCUACUUUUCUAUCUGCGUUAUACGUAACUAUAAAUAGCCAAUUUCUUAUACAUAUUGUAUGUAUAAAUAGCCAAUUUUUUAUACAUACAGUAUGUAUAAAUAGCCAAUUGCGUAUACAUACUGUAUGUAUAAAUAGCCAAUUGCGUAUACAUACAGUAUGUAUAAAUAGCCACAUCCUAUUUUUAAAGUAUACCAACGGAAAAUGUGUGAAUCAAAAUGUUGGAAUUAACAAAAUCGGAGAGAUACCAAGUUUGAUUGCAAAGUGGCUUAACAAAGACGAACCUAAAAAAUAUACUGGUCACUGCUUCAGAAGAAGCUCUGCCACUCUUUUGGCGAAUGCUGGAGGUGAUCUAAUUUCAAUUAAACGUCAUGGGGGCUGGAGAAGCAGCACAGUGGCAGAAAGUUACAUCGAGGACUCUUUGAAUAAUAAAAUUGAAAUUGCCAAUAAAAUUCAACCUUCUUCCUCCACAGAAGAAAACAAAAUCACUCAACCUUCUACAUCGGCUUCUUUUAAUGGCGAAAAUAACUUUCAUUUACAAGCGUCUUCACUCAGGCCUCUGGGGAUAAACGGGGGCACGUUUUCGUCAUGCACAUUUAAUUUUCAUAUGUCAAAGUAAAUAUCUAUUAUUAUUGUUUUGUAAUAUUGUUCUGUAUAAUUAUAAAACCUUUAAAACUA
This is a long non-coding RNA of Tribolium castaneum (red flour beetle), 3052 nucleotides long. RefSeq lists it as uncharacterized. The record is from RefSeq and is a predicted model, not a curated record. NCBI's taxonomy places the organism in Eukaryota, Metazoa, Arthropoda, Insecta, Coleoptera, Tenebrionidae. The transcript is spliced from 2 exons.